GACGAACGCUGGCGGCGCGCCUAACACAUGCAAGUCGAACGAGAGAGAAGGAGCUUGCUUCUUCGAUCGAGUGGCGAACGGGUGAGUAACGCGUGAGGAACCUGCCUCAAAGAGGGGGACAACAGUUGGAAACGACUGCUAAUACCGCAUAAGCCCACGGGUCGGCAUCGACCAGAGGGAAAAGGAGCAAUCCGCUUUGAGAUGGCCUCGCGUCCGAUUAGCUAGUUGGUGAGGUGAUGGCCCACCAAGGCGACGAUCGGUAGCCGGACUGAGAGGUUGAACGGCCACAUUGGGACUGAGACACGGCCCAGACUCCUACGGGAGGCAGCAGUGGGGAAUAUUGCACAAUGGGGGAAACCCUGAUGCAGCGACGCCGCGUGGAGGAAGAAGGUCUUCGGAUUGUAAACUCCUGUUGUUGAGGAAGAUAAUGACG
Molecule: ribosomal RNA, 433 nt
Filed under: uncultured bacterium
Lineage: Bacteria
Description: bacterial SSU rRNA
Rfam family: Bacterial small subunit ribosomal RNA
Source: RNAcentral